AUGAGCGGUCAUAGCGGCUUGGUUCCACCCGAUCUCAUUUAAUGCUGGUUUAUACCAGUUUUAGAGAUUUUCGAACUCGGAUAGUUAAGCAAGCCCACGUUCCAUAUUGUACUGUACUGCGUACGGGAAGUAUGGUUCGCUGCUCACC
This 148-nucleotide ribosomal RNA is filed under the name Nanobdellota archaeon. Lineage: Archaea; Nanobdellati; Nanobdellota. RNAcentral also lists the same sequence under 1 other name. The record is from RNAcentral.